This is a long non-coding RNA of Gopherus evgoodei (Goodes thornscrub tortoise), 333 nucleotides long. RefSeq lists it as uncharacterized. The record is from RefSeq and is a predicted model, not a curated record. Lineage: Eukaryota; Metazoa; Chordata; Testudines; Testudinidae. The transcript is spliced from 3 exons.
GGCUGCUGGCCGUGUCGUCUAACCUCUACACCGUGGUGGCCUUUAACUUCUUCCGCAAGUUCUACACAAGAGCGAGGACGAGACGAGCCGACAUGAAGUGAUGACAUGAUGACGUGCUACCUGUUCCACAUGUACGUGGGGGUGCGGGCGGGCGGGCAUCGGGGGACGAGAUCGAGGACCCAGCCGGCGACGAGUACGAGCUUUACCGCGUGGUUUCGACAUCACCUUCUUCUUCUUUGUCAUCGUCAUCCUGCUGGCCAUCAUCCAGGGCCUGAUCAUCGACGCCUUCGGGAGCUGCGCGACCAGCAGGAGCAGGUGAAGGAGGACAUGGAG